GAUGAACGCUGGCGGCGUGCCUAAUACAUGCAAGUCGAGCGAACGGACGAGAAGCUUGCUUCUCUGAUGUUAGCGGCGGACGGGUGAGUAACACGUGGAUAACCUACCUAUAAGACUGGGAUAACUUCGGGAAACCGGAGCUAAUACCGGAUAAUAUUUUGAACCGCAUGGUUCAAAAGUGAAAGACGGUCUUGCUGUCACUUAUAGAUGGAUCCGCGCUGCAUUAGCUAGUUGGUAAGGUAACGGCUUACCAAGGCAACGAUGCAUAACCGACCUGAGAGGGAGAUCGGCCACACUGGAACUGAGACACGGUCCAGACUCCUACGGGAGGCAGCGGUAGGGAAUCUUCCGCAAUGGACGAAAGCCUAACGGAGCAACGCCGCGUGAGUGAUGAAGGUCUUCUGAUCGUAAAACUCUGUUAUUAGGGAAGAACAUAUGUGUAAGUAACUGUGAACAUCUUGACGGUACCUAAUCAGAAAGCCACGGCUAACUACGUG
Molecule: ribosomal RNA, 497 nt
Filed under: uncultured bacterium
Lineage: Bacteria
Description: partial 16S ribosomal RNA
Rfam family: Bacterial small subunit ribosomal RNA
Source: RNAcentral